UAGAAUCGGCAGAUCCACCUAUGAUUGCAUCGGCGGAAAUUCCAGCUGCACCAACCCUUCCGGUUGCUGAAGAAGUCGACCUUCAAGCCGCUACAGAAGCCGGAACAGCCGUCGCGUCAUUAUUGGUGGAAGCUAUACAGGUAAACUCACCGUCCGAUUUUUCUUGACCGCCAUUUCAAUACUGACCUUUCUUAUAUUAGGAUGCACAGACUGUCCUAGUAAAUCCUCAGCAAUCGGC
Molecule: long non-coding RNA, 238 nt
Filed under: Setaria italica (foxtail millet)
Lineage: Eukaryota; Viridiplantae; Streptophyta; Magnoliopsida; Poales; Poaceae
Description: long non-coding RNA (SITA_LNC006888)
Source: RNAcentral